CACAUGCAGUCGAACGGGAUCCAGGCAGCUUGCUGUCUGGUGAGAGUGGCGAACGGGUGAGUAAUGCGUGACCAACCUGCCCCAUACUCCGGAAUAGCUCCUGGAAACGGGUGGUAAUGCCGGGUGUUCCGCAUCAUCGCAUGAUGGUGUGGGAAAGGGUUUACCGGUAUGGGAUGGGGUCGCGUCCUAUCAGCUUGUUGGUGGGGUGAUGGCCUACCAAGGCUUCGACGGGUAGCCGGCCUGAGAGGGCGACCGGCCACAUUGGGACUGAGAUACGGCCCAGACUCCUACGGGAGGCAGCAGUGGGGAAUAUUGCACAAUGGGCGAAAGCCUGAUGCAGCGACGCCGCGUGCGGGAUGACGGCCUUCGGGUUGUAAACCGCUUUUGAUUGGGAGCAAGCGAGAGUGAGUGUACCUUUCGAAUAAGCACCGGCUAACUACGUGCCAGCAGCCGCGGUAAUACGUAGGGUGCAAGCGUUAUCCGGAAUUAUUGGGCGUAAAGAGCUCGUAGGCGGUUCGUCGCGUCUGGUGUGAAAGUCCAUCGCUUAACGGUGGAUCUGCGCCGGGUACGGGCGGACUGGAGUGCGGUAGGGGAGACUGGAAUUCCCGGUGUAACGGUGGAAUGUGUAGAUAUCGGGAAGAACACCAAUGGCGAAGGCAGGUCUCUGGGCCGUUACUGACGCUGAGGAGCGAAAGCGUGGGGAGCGAACAGGAUUAGAUACCCUGGUAGUCCACGCCGUAAACGGUGGAUGCUGGAUGUGGGGCCCGUUCCACGGGUUCCGUGUCGGAGCUAACGCGUUAAGCAUCCCGCCUGGGGAGUACGGCCGCAAGGCUAAAACUCAAAGAAAUUGACGGGGGCCCGCACAAGCGGCGGAGCAUGCGGAUUAAUUCGAUGCAACGCGAAGAACCUUACCUGGGCUUGACAUGUGCCGGACGACCGCGGAGACGUGGUUUCCCUUCGGGGCCGGUUCACA
Molecule: ribosomal RNA, 973 nt
Filed under: Bifidobacterium coryneforme
Lineage: Bacteria; Bacillati; Actinomycetota; Actinomycetes; Bifidobacteriales; Bifidobacteriaceae
Description: bacterial SSU rRNA
Rfam family: Bacterial small subunit ribosomal RNA
Source: RNAcentral